This 210-nucleotide unclassified non-coding RNA is filed under the name Hevea brasiliensis (rubber tree). Lineage: Eukaryota; Viridiplantae; Streptophyta; Magnoliopsida; Malpighiales; Euphorbiaceae. The record is from RNAcentral.
AUUCCAUCCACAGUGAGUCAAGAAGCACGCCAACGAAGGGUGUUGUAGAACCUCCACUUGUGAACACCAAUCCACUGUUUUCCCUAACUCUUCCAACUCCUCUUUGCAACUCAACUUUUCAAAUGGCUUUUCGCCAUUCGCCCCCUCUCUAAUUAUCCACAAAAAUGGCCUUUUACACAAAACUAAACCAUGAGCAAUCUCCUCCAUGAG